AGAGGGAUAGCUGGAUCAAAUGGCAGUUCUGUUCUCAAUUUUUCAAGAAAUCUCCAUACUGCUUUCCAUAUUGGCUGUACCAAUUUGCAGUUCCACCAGCAAU
RNAcentral lists this microRNA precursor (103 nucleotides) under Marmota monax (woodchuck). The record is from RNAcentral. Lineage: Eukaryota; Metazoa; Chordata; Mammalia; Rodentia; Sciuridae.